Molecule: transfer RNA, 71 nt
Filed under: Loxodonta africana (African savanna elephant)
Lineage: Eukaryota; Metazoa; Chordata; Mammalia; Proboscidea; Elephantidae
Rfam family: tRNA
About the family: Transfer RNA (tRNA) molecules are approximately 80 nucleotides in length. Their secondary structure includes four short double-helical elements and three loops (D, anti-codon, and T loops). Further hydrogen bonds mediate the characteristic L-shaped molecular structure. tRNAs have two regions of fundamental functional importance: the anti-codon, which is responsible for specific mRNA codon recognition, and the 3' end, to which the tRNAs corresponding amino acid is attached (by aminoacyl-tRNA synthetases). tRNAs cope with the degeneracy of the genetic code in two manners: having more than one tRNA (with a specific anti-codon) for a particular amino acid; and 'wobble' base-pairing, i.e. permitting non-standard base-pairing at the 3rd anti-codon position.
Source: Rfam by way of RNAcentral
GCAUUGGUGGUUUUGUGGUAGAAUUCUCACCUUCUAUGCCAGAGACCCAGGUUCAAUUACUGGCCAGUGUA